Molecule: long non-coding RNA, 545 nt
Organism: Herpailurus yagouaroundi (jaguarundi)
Lineage: Eukaryota; Metazoa; Chordata; Mammalia; Carnivora; Felidae
Exons: 2
Source: RefSeq, a predicted model, not a curated record
CCAAAGCUGGAUGCUUAACCGACUGAGCCACCCAGGCGCCCCACAUUUGCCAGUUUUCAUGAGGUAUGUUUCCACCAUGGCUAGUUUCAAACUACUAAUGUUCCUGAACGUGUUGGGAAGAGACGCACACAAGAAGUUCUCCAGAGCCCAGGCAAGCAGAAGUAAAGCGCCCCGGUGUGGGCCCCAGUGAUACAAGCUUCCCCUUGAACAAGAAUGGUGGACAAGGGGACUCCAUGUUCUGGGUCAGGCUGCGUGUGGGCAGUUUUUACUGGCGACGUCACUUCAGAUUAGGUGAAAGAGUGGCCGCACCAGCUUGCAUUCCCAUCCUGACUUCCAGCACCGUAAACGAAUUUUCUCCAUCUUUGGAGUUCAUCUAAAUGGCAUCAUGCACUGGGUGGUUUUCUUGUAUCCGGCUUUUACUCAUUGUUAUAUCUGUGGGAUUUUAUCCAUGUGUCAUGGGUAAGAGUUUUCCCAUUUCUGGGUAGUUUUCCUAGUGCUGACUUUUAAUAACUUUACCUCAAUAAAAGGUUUUUGUUUUGUUUUAA